Molecule: long non-coding RNA, 1179 nt
Filed under: Pogona vitticeps (central bearded dragon)
Lineage: Eukaryota; Metazoa; Chordata; Lepidosauria; Squamata; Agamidae
Description: lncRNA (ENSPVIG00000024185.1)
Source: RNAcentral
AGGCCCGAACCCUGCAUAGAAGAGAAUCGACUAAGUUUGGAGGCGGGCAUAUGGGUGAACAGCCAAUAGAUAGUAGCAGGAGAGGCAGAACAACCCAAUAGCUACCAUGGGCGGUAUUUUGAGCCUCAGGUUGCCCAAUGAAGUGUUCUACAGGUGCUGAUUGCAGGGCCCGCCCGCACAGUUCUGGGCGGUACUCGGAUAGGCGGGCGGGCGCUGAGACGGCCGUUUCCUGUCCUGGUGCAUGGUGGUCGGACGGAGGAAUUGUUGGAAAAUUUCUCGGCGAGGAGAGUAUUUCCAGACUCCUGAAGAUUUCUGGUAGCUCAGAUGUAACACUUUGUUGAAUUAACACUGGAGGCACCCCCAGAAGAGAGCCUUGGAGAGUGGGUAAUGCUUGCUUGUUCUGAGCAUAAGCAUAAAAAUUACAUUUUAAGCAUAGUUUGAUUUAUAAUAUAUCUUCCUCCAUGUCAGUUAUUACCACUGAUAUUGUAAUUUUGACAUGUUUUGCAUUGUUUUUGUCAAUAUUUUUCCUUUAAUAGUUCGUUUUUGAAAAAGAUUCCUUUGGAGAAGUAAAAAAUGCCUCGCAAAUACUCCAAGAAAAUAUUAUAGUCUCCCCAAAAUAACAAGUGUUCAUUGAUUGCUACACAGAAAAAGUACUACAGUGGUGCCCCACUUGACGAUUACCCCGCAUUACGAUGAAUCAGCUUCACGACGACGUUUUUGCGAUCGCUUUUGCGAUUGCAAAACGAUGGUCUAAAUAGAGUUUUUUCACUCUGCGAUGAUCGGUUCCCGAAGCAGGAUUCUUCACAAAACAAUGGUUUUUUAACAGCUGAUCGGUGGCUUCAAAAUGGCCACCGGGUAAUUAAAAUGGAUCCCUGCUGUGUUUAGGGAUGGAUUCCUCGCUAUACAGGCACCAAAAAUGGCCGCCGUAUGGAGGAUCUUCGCUGGACGGUGAGUUUUUAGCCCAUUGGAAUGCAUUGAACGGUUUUCAAUGCAUUUCAAUGGACUUUUUAUUUUCGCUUUACGAUGUUUUCGCUUAACAGUGAUUUUCCUGGAACGGAUUAUUGCCGUUAAGCGAGGCACCACUGUGCAUUACUUAUCCUUACCUUGUUUGUAAAAAAAGCAUGAUGAUGCCCUUCUUACAAAAAUAAAAUAAAAUAAAUGUCCUACUUAGAAGUUCUG